AUGGCUGUUGCCAGUUCCAGGUCAGAACCAGAACCAGAAUAUUCAUAUAUCAGUAUUACUAGUAAGUCGGACCUGUUCCCAGUGAGGGUUGGACUCCGCCAGGGCUGCCCUUUGUCACCGGUUCUGUUCAUCACUUUUAUGGACAGAAUUUCUAGACGCAGCCGUGGUGUGGAGUGUGUCGAGUUUGGUGGCAGGAGAAUCUCGUCUCUGCUUUUUGCGGAUGAUGUGGUCCUCCUAGCUUCAUCCAGCUCUGACCUUCAGCUCUUGCUGGGUAGGUUCACGGCCGAAUGUGAAGCGGCUGGGAUGAGGAUCAGCACCUCCAAAUCUGAGACCAUGGUUCUCGACCGGAAAAGGGUGGCUUGCCACCUCCGGGUCGGGGGAGAGGUCCUACCUCAAGUGGAGGAGUUUAAGUAUCUCGGGGUCUUGUUCACGAGUGAGGGUAGGAGGGAUCGGGAGAUCGACAGGCGGAUUGGUUCGGCGUCUGCAGUGAUGCGGACGCUGAGCCGAUCUGUCAUGGGGAAGAGGGAGCUGAGCCAGAAAGCCAGGCUCUCGAUCUACCGGUCGAUCUACGUCCCAAUCCUCACCUAUGGUCAUGAGCUUUGGGUAAUGACCGAAAGAACGAGAUCGCGGAUACAAGCGGCCGAAAUGAGUUUCCUCCGUAGGGUGGCCGGGCUCAGCCUUAGAGAUAGGGUGAGGAGCUCGGACAUUCGGGAGGGACUCGGAGUAGAACCGCUGCUCCUCCGGAUCGAAAGGAGCCAGUUGAGGUGGUUUGGGCAUCUGGUCAGGAUGCCUCCUGGACGCCUCCCCGGGGAGGUGUUUCGGGCAUGUCCUGCCGGCAGAAGGCCCCCGGGUCGACCCAGGACACGUUGGAGAGGUUACAUCUCCAAUCUGGUCCGGGAACGCCUUGGGGUCCUGCCGGAGGAGCUGGUGGACAAGGCCGGGGAGAGGACGGCCUGGAGCUCCCUAAUUGGGAUGCUGCCCCCGCGACCCGGACCCGGAUAA
This 1002-nucleotide long non-coding RNA is filed under the name Nothobranchius furzeri (turquoise killifish). Its description in RNAcentral is "lncRNA (ENSNFUG00015018282.1)". Lineage: Eukaryota; Metazoa; Chordata; Actinopteri; Cyprinodontiformes; Nothobranchiidae. The record is from RNAcentral.